Molecule: ribosomal RNA, 443 nt
Filed under: uncultured bacterium
Lineage: Bacteria
Description: partial 16S ribosomal RNA
Rfam family: Bacterial small subunit ribosomal RNA
Source: RNAcentral
CCUACGGGUGUCAGCAGUGGGGGAUAUUGGACAAUGGGGGAAACCCUGAUCCAGCAACGCCGCGUGAGUGAAGAAGGCCCUCGGGUUGUAAACUUCUUUUGUCAGGGCCGAAAAAGGUGACGGUACCUGACGAAUAAGCCGCUGCUAACUACGUGCCAGCAGCCGCGGUAAUACGUAGGUGACAAGCGUUAUCCGGCUUUACUGGGUGUAAAGGGCGUGUAGGCGGGACGGCAAGUCAGAUGUGAAAUUCCAGGGCUCAACCCUGGAACUGCAUUUGAAACUGGAGUUCUUGAGGGAUGUAGAGGCAGGCGGAAUGCCGGGUGUAGCGGUGAAAUGCGUAGAUAUAAGGAGGAACACCAGGGGCGAAGGCGGCCUGCUGGACAUUAACUGACGCUGAGGCGCGAAAGCGUGGGGAGCAAACAGGAUUAGAUACCCCGGUAGUC